RNAcentral lists this long non-coding RNA (524 nucleotides) under Androctonus crassicauda. Lineage: Eukaryota; Metazoa; Arthropoda; Arachnida; Scorpiones; Buthidae. The record is from RNAcentral.
UCAAGAAUGUAGAAAAAAACACUGGUCUGCAUUCCAUUAGGAAUCUUGUCAUUAGGAGUAAACAAUAUUCAGAUGAUGAUCUUGCAGGAGUUAGGUUAUUCUGAAUCCUUUGGGUUUACAGAGUCUGUCUCUGUGAACCCAAAAGUGGAGAGAGAGGAGUCUUCAAAAGUGGAGGAGUUAGUUGAUAAAUGCAUAAAUCAGGAUCUAAUCACCAAGAAGGACAGGAAAUUUUGCAGAAAGUUCAUGCUUGGUAUAACACAAACAGAAGAGAAGUUAAGAUCAAGAGAAUACUAAAAAAUCUUUAUCUUAUUUAUGAAAAGGUUGUGGUGUUCGUGUUAUCCCGAUAGAAAAAGGCAUAACGGUAAAUCACAAAAAUAACUUUAUUUCUCGCAGACACAUAUGACGACCUUACAGCUCGAGCGGCUCGCCAAAAAUUGGGCUCCUACUACACUUGGCCCUCUCGCGGUGAAAAACCUUUUCUUUUUUCUAAUUCGUGUGUUCGUCUCCGCAGUUCCAUUCUCAAC